GCGCGAGUGGCGGAAUUGGUAGACGCGCUAGCUUCAGGAGCUAGUGGGCAUUUGCUCGUGGAGGUUCAAGUCCUCUCUCGCGCACCA
RNAcentral lists this transfer RNA (87 nucleotides) under Candidatus Saccharimonadota bacterium. RNAcentral describes it as "tRNA-Leu". It matches the Rfam family "tRNA". Rfam says of the family: Transfer RNA (tRNA) molecules are approximately 80 nucleotides in length. Their secondary structure includes four short double-helical elements and three loops (D, anti-codon, and T loops). Further hydrogen bonds mediate the characteristic L-shaped molecular structure. tRNAs have two regions of fundamental functional importance: the anti-codon, which is responsible for specific mRNA codon recognition, and the 3' end, to which the tRNAs corresponding amino acid is attached (by aminoacyl-tRNA synthetases). tRNAs cope with the degeneracy of the genetic code in two manners: having more than one tRNA (with a specific anti-codon) for a particular amino acid; and 'wobble' base-pairing, i.e. permitting non-standard base-pairing at the 3rd anti-codon position. The record is from RNAcentral. Lineage: Bacteria; Candidatus Saccharimonadota.